RNAcentral lists this ribosomal RNA (628 nucleotides) under Trichoderma harzianum. Its description in RNAcentral is "eukaryotic LSU rRNA". The stretch from base 245 to 398 matches the Rfam family "5.8S ribosomal RNA". The record is from RNAcentral. Lineage: Eukaryota; Fungi; Ascomycota; Sordariomycetes; Hypocreales; Hypocreaceae.
UCGUAACAAGGUCUCCGUUGGUGAACCAGCGGAGGGAUCAUUACCGAGUUUACAACUCCCAAACCCCAUGUGAACGUUACCAAACUGUUGCCUCGGCGGGAUCUCUGCCCCGGGUGCGUCGCAGCCCCGGACCAAGGCGCCCGCCGGAGGACCAACCAAAACUCUUAUUGUAUACCCCCUCGCGGGUUUUUUUAUAAUCUGAGCCUUCUCGGCGCCUCUCGUAGGCGUUUCGAAAAUGAAUCAAAACUUUCAACAACGGAUCUCUUGGUUCUGGCAUCGAUGAAGAACGCAGCGAAAUGCGAUAAGUAAUGUGAAUUGCAGAAUUCAGUGAAUCAUCGAAUCUUUGAACGCACAUUGCGCCCGCCAGUAUUCUGGCGGGCAUGCCUGUCCGAGCGUCAUUUCAACCCUCGAACCCCUCCGGGGGGUCGGCGUUGGGGAUCGGCCCUGCCUUGGCGGUGGCCGUCUCCGAAAUACAGUGGCGGUUCGCCGCAGCCUCUCCUGCGCAGUAGUUUGCACACUCGCAUCGGGAGCGCGGCGCGUCCACAGCCGUUAAACACCCAACUUCUGAAAUGUUGACCUCGGAUCAGGUAGGAAUACCCGCUGAACUUAAGCAUAUCAAUAAAGCGGA